GAGAGAGAGAGAGAGAGAGAGAGAGAGAGAUUAGAGAAAAAACUUUUCCGAACUUCGGAUUCCGCCUUCAGUUGCAGACUUCAGAGUCACCGUGAUCAUGCAAGCCUUUCACAUCACGUGAGGAUCAAGGGCUCAAUUGGUUGUCGUGAGAACAAAAAUGGUGACAAGCGUAUCAAGAAAAUACUGAUCUGGUCUUUAAAAAAAAAAAAACUGAAGGUCUCUCCCUCCCCCCCCACG
Alexandromys fortis (reed vole) is the source of this 237-nucleotide long non-coding RNA. RefSeq lists it as uncharacterized. The record is from RefSeq and is a predicted model, not a curated record. The transcript is spliced from 2 exons. Lineage: Eukaryota; Metazoa; Chordata; Mammalia; Rodentia; Cricetidae.